This 253-nucleotide ribosomal RNA is filed under the name uncultured bacterium. Its description in RNAcentral is "partial 16S ribosomal RNA". It matches the Rfam family "Bacterial small subunit ribosomal RNA", at positions 524 to 776 of the family's 1533-position model. The record is from RNAcentral.
UACGAAGGGGGCUAGCGUUGCUCGGAAUCACUGGGCGUAAAGCGCACGUAGGCGGAUCUUUAAGUCAGGGGUGAAAUCCUGGAGCUCAACUCCAGAACUGCCUUUGAUACUGGGGAUCUCGAGUCCGGAAGAGGUGGGUGGAACUCCGAGUGUAGAGGUGAAAUUCGUAGAUAUUCGGAGGAACACCAGUGGCGAAGGCGGCUCACUGGUCCGGUACUGACGCUGAGGUGCGAAAGCGUGGGGAGCAAACAGG